UACGGAGGUGGCAAGCGUUGUCCGGAUUUACUGGGUGUAAAGGGCGUGUAGCCGGGCUGACAAGUCAGAUGUGAAAUCCGGGGGCUCAACCCUCGAACUGCAUUUGAAACUGUUGGUCUUGAGUAUCGGAGAGGCAGGCGGAAUUCCUGGUGUAGCGGUGAAAUGCUUAGAUAUCACGAAGAACUCCGAUUGCGAAGGCAGCUCACUGGACUGCAACUGACACUGAGGCUCGAAAGUGUGGGUAUCAAACAGG
This 253-nucleotide ribosomal RNA is filed under the name uncultured bacterium. Its description in RNAcentral is "partial 16S ribosomal RNA". It matches the Rfam family "Bacterial small subunit ribosomal RNA", at positions 524 to 776 of the family's 1533-position model. The record is from RNAcentral.